Molecule: ribosomal RNA, 497 nt
Filed under: uncultured bacterium
Lineage: Bacteria
Description: partial 16S ribosomal RNA
Rfam family: Bacterial small subunit ribosomal RNA
Source: RNAcentral
GAUGAACGCUGGCGGCGUGCUUAAUACAUGCCAGUCGAGCGAACAGACGAGGAGCUUGCUCCUCUGACGUUAGCGGCGGACGGGUGAGUAACACGUGUAUAACCUACCUAUAAGACUGGGAUAACUUCGGGAAUCCGGAGCUAAUCCCGGAUAAUAUAUUGAACCGCAUUGUUCAAUAGUGAAAGACGGUUGUGCUGUCACUUAUAGAGGGAUCCGCGCCGCAUUAGCUAGUUGGUAAGGUAACGGCUUAUCAAGGCAACGAGGCGUAGGCGACCGGAGAGGGUGAUCGGCCACCCUGGAAGUGGGACAGGGACAAGGCGCCUACGGGAGGCACCAGUAGGGAAUGUUCCGCAAUGGGCGAAAGCAUGACGGAGCAACGCCGCGUGAGAGACAGAAGUCCUGGGAGCGUAAUGAUGUGUUAUUAGGGAAAAACAAAUGUGUACGUAACUAUGCACGUAUUGACGGUACCUAAUCAGAAAGCCCCGGCUAACUACGUG